GUUGUAGGUGGUGGUGAUGGUGGAGUUCUUAGUGAAAUCUCUCGCCACAAUACUGUGGAGCUCAUUGAUAUUUGUGAGAUUGAUAAGAUGGUUAUAGAUGUAUGUGGUGAAUGAUGUGCCCAUUCAUGUGAUUAGAUAUUAUUUGUGUUCUUUGUUAUGUAACGAGUAUGUUGCUGCAACUUCUUGCUUAUAGGUUAGUAAAAAGUUUUUUUUUUCCAGAGUUAGCUAUUGGCUUUGAGGAUCCUCGUGUGCAACUGCAUAUUGCUGAUGCUGUUGAAUUUUUACGGAAUGUACCUAAAGGAAAGUAUGAUGCAAUUAUUGUUGAUUCAUCAGACCCUGCAGGCACAUGAUUAUGCAUAUGGGUAGAUGUUAUAUAAUUUCGAACGCCAUGAUUAAGUGAUCCCAUAGUUAAGCCUGUAGUUGCUUUCAAGAUUUUGUUGAGGGAAUAGUUGAUAUGAUCGAGCGGUUGAUGUUGGGAGCCAAAUAUUAUGUUGCUCUUUUUUUUUUCUUUUUUUUUUUUGAAGACUUGAAUUUUUUAGUACAGUGUAUUUAAGGAUGGUUAA
This is a non-coding RNA of Camellia sinensis, 563 nucleotides long. NCBI's taxonomy places the organism in Eukaryota, Viridiplantae, Streptophyta, Magnoliopsida, Ericales, Theaceae. The record is from RefSeq and is a predicted model, not a curated record.